GCAAAACUUAGAGUGCAGAUAAUAGCUAUGUUGUUGGGCUUGGAGACUUGGCUCUCCAGCAAUCAAGGCCACAACCAGAACAAGUAAAGCUAAGGCAGAGCUAGAAGAAGUUCUUCUUGGGUGGCUGGUUUCUCCACUGAGGUAUUUUCUCAUUGCUAUACUAGUAUAUUAGAGUUAAUUUUCCUCUUCUUCCUUCGCUUUAUUUCUCUUUAAAAUAGGAAGUGUAUCUCGAGUGGUUUUUGUUGGAAAAUGCACCAAAUGCUUUCUAAGUGGUGAAUUGCUAUGAAUCAAAGGAAACUUAAGUAGGAUAAUCUGGGUGCAUUGUUAUCAAUUCUAGCAAGCCUUUGGAUUCUUGUGGAAAAAUGCAAGAGAGGCAUGAAAUACCAAGACACAAAUAAAAGAGGAGCUAGCUGGACUGCAUUGUGGAUGGAUUUCAAGCUCCCAUAAUGCUUGGUAAGUAAUGCCUGCAAGAAAAAAUUUAAAGGACUCAAAUGAGUCAUCGAUGCAGAAGUAGAAGAAGAUGGAUACAUAGGAAUGAAUAAAAUGGUAGCUACAUCUGACAGGUAUUGUGAUCAUCUUCUAAAAUGCAAAGCCUCGUAGUAAUUUCUUUUCUACUCUUUGUGGAAAACUUCCACAGCUAAUGUGAAUGAACAUAAAUUCUUGUGUUCCUUGUGAUCCAUUGAGCUUUGGCACCGUCGUCUACCAUCUUAGCUAAAUGCUAUAUAAGAUCCAUUGAAAACUUAAUGGCAGUAUAGUUGGUUCAUGCUCUGUUUCCUCUUCCUAAGAAUGCUGGUUUUUUUAAGGCCUUGUUUGUUCUUUUAUUAGAAACCAUAAAAAGCUCCUCUCCUUCUCCAUGAAGGACCCUCCCUAGAGUCAUCUAUCUCCCACAAGAUUUAUAGGAACACUGCUAUCACUUCUCUAUGAAAUUUGCAAUCUUGGGAGGGAGACACCUUCCAAUUGUCCAUUGAAUAGGCCACAGGGUGAAGUCCAAUUACUCUACAGCAGCUACAGAAGGUUCCUGCAGGAACUGUGCUCUCAUAGUCUCAUUGUUCAAAAAUCCCACUGAGAAGAGUACACCUCAAAUAUUAAAAAGUUCUUUCUCCAAAAAAGAAAAAUUUAAUGAAAUAUAUUUCUAUGAUAGGAUUAUUUUAGAUAAAGUAGAUCUAUCAAAAUUAUUUUGAAAAACUAAUGGCAAUGAUCUGCAAUCCAUAAUAUUUUAAGCAAUAAUUUUCUUUCUAUCAAGAAGUGAAUUACUUGGACAUCUCAAAAAUAUUUAUCUCAAACAUUCUUAGCAACAAUCAUGUACAACCAAAGGAUUGCCACACACUAUAUUUAUGUGAAAUUACUUUUCCAACAAAUAGAAAAGGGUUCUGAUCAUCUUACAAUCACCAUAAGCAGUGAUGAGUCAUCCUAACUCAUCCUUAAAAACACUUCAAGCAAUCGACUAAAAUUUCUAGAAAACAUAAUCCUUAGAUAUCUAAUUUGAUGUCAAAUAUCUCAUUCUAACAAAAGUAACACACAUAUAGCUUAGCAUAUUGACUGGAAAAAAAAUAAAUAAAUAAAUAAUUCAUUAUGUGCUUGUAACAUGGUAAUGUGUCGAUCGAACCUUGGUUGCUCUGUCCUUUCGGUCUACAUGGUGAGGAUCCAACAGACUAAAAUCACUAGAUCAAUCCAUACUGUUAGGAGCAUUCAUAACAGUAACUAAAAAGGUGCUUUUUGAAAUGAAAAAGAUGUUUCUGUGUUUCUUGGUUGCCUAAGAAACCCUUCAAAACCCAUCAGUUAAGUCAUGAUUGAGUUAUCCAAUACUUGUGCAGCAACAGUUCUAUCGAGAACUUUAAAUCCAAAUAUAAUUUUUGCUAGACAAAUCCAAUUAUAUUAAAUCUUGUCAUUUUAAUCUUGAAGAUGAGCUUCUCAUGUCCAUCUAGGAGCAGACGAUAGAAUGAUCAUUAUUUCAUGCAAAUCUUUUUCUAGAUUUACACUCGCGUCAUUUUUUUCCUGCAAAAGUUCUUUUCAAUAAACUCUCAAUUUAAUACAUAGUAUGGAAAACUUUAGCUCUUGAACCAUUGUUUUGGGUCAUUGUCUUUGGGGAGCUUAAUUGGUAGGUAGGUGUGUUAUAAAUGCAGCAGAGACGACGAAUUUGUUCCUAAUUAUUUCCACACUUCUAGUUGUGAUUUCGCUCUCCAAAUACAUCAAAUAAUUCAGAUCCUCUAAGCCAGUCAGUUUCAUCCGAGUACAUAGCAACAAAGGCUAUGUCUCCUUUGUCCUACUUCAUGUAUUGUUACCAAUUGAAAAAUGAAGCAUUAGUCCUCAAUGAUCUAAGCAUGUUUAUAAUUUUUGGUCGUGUUUUCGGUGUUAUAAUGUAUAGUGGCAACCUUAUUAUGACAUAAAUGAUAUAAUUUAAGGAAGAUCAUUGUAGCUUUGCAACAGCCGUUGUACCACUAUUUGGAGCGAGCCUUGUAUUGUCAACAUAAUGAUCGAAUAAUUAAACUAAUGAUGGUCGUGAUUUAUAUUAUCUUGUUAUAACAGGUAUCAUAUCAUGGAAACAAUGAUAUUUAUUGAUAUUCAUAACUAAAUUAGAAUAUUUUUCAAUUUAAUCACCAUACUUGUUUAAAACUAAGAGCUUAUUCUAUGCAUUGUGACAUUAUCAGAUAAUAUUGAUAUUAUACAUGAUUAUUGCUCAUUGUUUUCUAAUAACCAUUAGAUUUUCCCUAAGAUUUCCGUCAAAUGUUUGAUUAGGAAGAUGAUAUGAUCAUUAUUUACAUUGCAAUGAAAAAUAAUUGUUCUAAAUGAAGUUUAUUAUCAGGAGGAAUUAGCAUUGCUUAAAUCUUGUAAUAUAAUUGUGAGGACUUAUGUGGACGUAUGUUUAGUCCCAUAUCGAUUAUUCAUUGGAUAGAUCUUAGGUACUUAUACAAUACUAAGGAACCCAAAUAAUACCUUCCGGCUAACCAUUUUGGGUGAGGUCCUGGGUUGUUACAAAUGGUAUUAGAGCGGACUUGACCCAUAAUUUAUGUGGACUAGAGGACACUGCAACACAGAUUCAUUAGGGCUGACAACGGGCUAAUCGUAGUGUUUGUGAAUAGAUUUGAAUGGAUUUGAACCCUUAGCCUGACAAGAACGUCAGAGCUUGAACGGGGGAGUAUGUGAGGAAUCGUUCGGGCGUGUGUUUAGUCCUACAUCGGUCAUUCGCUGGGUAGAUCUUGGAUACUUGUGUAGGGUCUUGAGUUGUUACAAUAAUAUUGCAUUAGAUUUGAUUUUGCUAUUACCCACAAGUUGUUAAUUUUCAUAUAUUAGUAUCUUUAUUUAUAUAUUUUUAACCGAGAGAGAGAGAGAGAGAGAGAGAGAGAGAGAGAGAGAGAGAGAGAGAGAGAGANNNNNNNNNNNNNNNNNNNNGAGAGAGAGAGAGAUAUUUUAAUUAAACUUCAUGAGAAAAGAGGAGCUUGGUGAAGUGGUCCUUACUACAGAUGCCCCUUCCUCUAAUCGGGGUCAUGGAAGCGCGUGCAGUGGUCCAAUUGGUCCCUUGUUUCAUACUCCAUGGAAAGAGCAUUUUAGUUAGCAAGGUUUUCUUUCUAUUACAUAUGUCAAAAACGUUGGUUUCGUGGGGCAUAAAAUAGGUUUCAGGUGGCUUAGCGACUAUCGACCGGCUAACAAACAUAAUUGGACUCUUGAUUCUCUUCUCCUCAUAAUGUAAUUUUUUUCACAGAUUUUUUUACUUAAAAACAAAUAUAUAUUUUUCAAUAUCAUACAUCUUUAUAGAUAAAUUUUGUAAAAAAACGCAACCGAAUGAGUAUUUUGACAAAUCUCAUAUAUAUCUUAGUUUGUGUAUAGCUCUUCUUUGGUAAAAAAACCUAACAAACAAACUAUAUCAUUACCACACAAAUGCUCUCUAGGUCUCUUGGACUACAAAACAAAGAAUUCUCAUUGAAGUGUGAUGCAAUGCAUGGUAGAUUUUGAGAUGUGUGUUCAGUAGAUGAUGUUAGUUGUAGUAAGCCCACACAAUUAAUCAUACAUUGAAAAUGGAUUGCCAUGUUUGUCAUGCAUUAAAGCACCUAAACGGUGUUAGCACACUGCAUAGACAUGGUUCAAGAACAUGCUACUCUUGUUGGUCUGCAAGAAUAUAAUGAGUUUUUACUGAUUGCACAUCUAAGUUGUCCUGUGAUGCAGACAAAAAUAUCUUAAAAUGCAUGCUAGCUACAAGGAAAGAACGAUAAAUCUUGGUCUCAUGUCUCCCUUAGAAUGUAAUCGAAGGCAAAUUUACAUCCACAAUAUGCAAAGUAUUGUAAUUUUGCUGGCCAUUAAAACCAUCUCACUUCUAUCAUCCAGUAAUAUCAUGCUGAUGUCAAAUGCAUGGGCUUAACUUGAGAGUGCAAGAGAUAUCUCCUAUUCAUCUUCUUCUCUCUCUUGUGGCAGGGAAAGGGGUUAAACCCAGUGUCUAAUAAAAGCUAAAUCAGUGGUAUCAGCCUCAGAGAGAGAGAGAGAGAGCAAACUUUCCAAGGGAAAUUGGACUUCCAGACUUUGACUUCCUCAAGUGUGCUUCUAAUAUUGACAAGAAGAUCAGCAACUUGGUUUGCUUCUCGAAAUACAUUGUUGAUGCACAGAUAAGUGUAAUCUUACCAGG
This 4615-nucleotide long non-coding RNA is filed under the name Phoenix dactylifera (date palm). RNAcentral's name for it is "long non-coding RNA (PDAC_LNC007042)". Lineage: Eukaryota; Viridiplantae; Streptophyta; Magnoliopsida; Arecales; Arecaceae. The record is from RNAcentral.